UUUACCUGAAUGCAAAUGAGGGCUAAAUAACUACAAGCUACUGUUUAAAGUGGAAAAGUAUAACACAAGUGCAGGGGACUAAUUCUGCCAACACCACUAACACCAGUCCUCCAAAACCCUAAUGAUACACUCAGAACAAGCAAACCAGUAGAUCUGAUUACCAAUUUCACAUAUCCUGCAUUCCUGGAGCUCACCAAUUUCAUCAUUUCCGGACACUCAGACUCUAACUAGGAACACCUAACUCACAGCCCUGUAUUUUGCUAAGUUUUUCCUCUACUCUUGAGUCCCCCUUUAAUCUAUAGGGUGUUAUUCUACACAGGACCUCUUUCUUAUUUUUUGGAGUCUAGCAUCUUGCAUCUUCCUGGAGCCCCAACUAAACUCAUAACUUCUAAGCUUCUAAGAAAUAUAUGAUGAGCUCCAUGAGGGCCAAGGCUGUCCUUUCUUGUUCACCACUACACACUCAAGAGCAUGCUGGCUGUGCUAGUCCCAUCCUCAACAGAAUAAUUGCUGACAAACUCUCUUGCCCAGACAAUGUCUAUUGGAAUUAUGGAGUACAAAAAAACUACAAAAGCAAUGAAAAAAAAGAAGGAUGUUUUAUUUACAUCCUAUUUCAAAACCAUUGCUUUCUUGCUAUUGUAUGUCUCUGCAGGCCCAAUAUCGCGCAUCUGCAUAAGAAGUUUAGAAUUGUUCCUUAUGUUUCCUUCUAACAAACACUGGUAUAUUCACUUGAAAGUGUAUAUUUUAUUCACUUCCAAAACAGUUAGCUCAUAAUUCGGAACAUUGAGGUUUGCAAAAUGACUGAAGGAAACUUUACCGAAACAAUAGUUGCCAGUUCUGCUGAGAAUUAUCACAGGCCCACAACGGCCGUGUAUUUUUCCUACAGAUAUUCUAAUUUUUUUUUAUUAUGCAGCUAAUUUUUUUUUAGACUCAUGAAUAAAAUAGCAAGUCAGUCUGUGCAUAAGCACAUGUUUAAAUCUACCAGGAGAAAUGUCUGGAAUCUUCUUGGUUAUUAAAAUUAAAAUUAAGAAUAACGAAAGGCAUAUGCAACUUAUUGUAUUCUUUAUAUAACUUAUUUCAUCUAGUCCUCCAAAUAGCUAUCUAACAUAUUUAUCCCCACCUUACAUA
Molecule: long non-coding RNA, 1125 nt
Organism: Nomascus leucogenys (northern white-cheeked gibbon)
Lineage: Eukaryota; Metazoa; Chordata; Mammalia; Primates; Hylobatidae
Exons: 3
Source: RefSeq, a predicted model, not a curated record